UAUGAGGUCAGUCCUUGAAGUAACAUCAAGAUUAGAAGAUGAAGUUCAUCGGGUAUUUGUUGGUCGUAAUGGCUUUCGUGUUUGCUAUCGUGGCUGGCAUGACAGAUAACCAGGCAGCUGGGUGUCAUGGCGGCGGUGGUGGCAGACCACCUCGGCCACCCCCACCAUCCACUACAAUGGCAACUACCACCACAGCUGCCACCAAUUCAUCGAGUGGAUAGACGUCAUUUAUCUAUAAAAUCGACGCGCACAACAAAUUGGCUAUUUUAUACAACCAUAAUAAAACAAUAAAAGAUAAUAAUCAAACAAAACUAAA
Molecule: long non-coding RNA, 316 nt
Organism: Spodoptera litura
Lineage: Eukaryota; Metazoa; Arthropoda; Insecta; Lepidoptera; Noctuidae
Source: RefSeq, a predicted model, not a curated record